Daphnia pulicaria is the source of this 402-nucleotide long non-coding RNA. RefSeq lists it as uncharacterized. The record is from RefSeq and is a predicted model, not a curated record. The transcript has 2 exons. Lineage: Eukaryota; Metazoa; Arthropoda; Branchiopoda; Diplostraca; Daphniidae.
UGUCAAACGUCAGAGAGAAGAAACGUUUAAUAAAAGAAACACAAAAACAAUGUCCGCUCUAGCUGGUUAUCAGUUAACACUUAAUUGAAAGAUCCAACAAACAAAGGCAAAUAUAUUUGAUACUCACGUAAUAUUCUCCUCUCCAAAUGUAUAACUCGUUUCAGUCUUCACCCAAAAAAGCCACCACCACACAAAACAACAGACGAAAUCCCCAAGGUGAUAAUGGACGUCAGUCCAACUUCUACAAUGAGGAGAAGGAAGAGCUCUUGACAUUCGUUUUACCUGGUCUAUGGCAUCUGUUAUUCUAGACGUUUUAGCACCCGGGCAACAGCACUUGGACAGUGGAUUGCUGAUAGGAAAAAUACGAGUUGGUAACAGCAAAUGAUAAGUCAAUCACAAAAU